RNAcentral lists this non-coding RNA (29 nucleotides) under Homo sapiens (human). The record is from RNAcentral. Lineage: Eukaryota; Metazoa; Chordata; Mammalia; Primates; Hominidae.
UGUGACAUGAGUUUACCUAUAAAAUAAAC